CACAAAGUCAGUUCUCAUAUGAAUGAGCUCCAUGGGAUUCCUAUCUGGGGUAUAGUGCAGUCAGGUAUGACUACCGAAUACCGGGCCGUUCGUGUACUUCCACCGAACAAGAAGGGAGGUCGGCGGCUUCAGCGGUGUUCGCAACAAACUGUGUCCGUUUUUAGUUCCAUGAGUUAGGCGUCGAACACCGCUGUGCGUUCGUGUGUUUAAAAUGGCCACGACCUCGUGUUCGGUAUACGAAUGGCGGCCACCCAGUAUUCGUCAAUUAAGCUGCGGUUAACCGCAGCUUCUGGGAGGCUAAUUGCCGGCACACUCCAGCUCCUAGGUGUUCUUGUCAUUCGUGCGGUUGUUCGGUAGAUUGAAUCUACUGAACACCGGGCAGAAAAGCACAAAUAAGUCUUUUAGCAUGGGGCCAUAAUCCAAAGGCAGCAGGCGAGUGUGACGAAGUGCCCUUCGCCACUUGGUACUGGAGAGGCCUGCUUG
Molecule: non-coding RNA, 483 nt
Organism: Pelobates cultripes (western spadefoot toad)
Lineage: Eukaryota; Metazoa; Chordata; Amphibia; Anura; Pelobatidae
Source: the annotation of a GenBank genome assembly